CACAGCAUUUUCAUCCACACAAGAAAUAUUUGUCUACCCAAAACCACCGUUGAAAUCAGCAGCCAGGAUCACAAAAAUAAAGUUAUGCAACUGGGCUCUUUGUUUCCGAGACAAAAAGCCACACAGCACAACCUCCAGUGCAGCACUGCACAUACACACACAUGCACAGUCCUGCAGUGCCAGUUUUAUGGACAAUGCCAGCUCUGCACCUGCCCUGCAGCUAGGGAGCAGAACCGGGGGCUUCAAAGAUGAAUUUUGUAUGCACUCACACAGAGAGAGAGAGAGAGAGAGAGCGAGAGAGAGAAAUAACAAAGGUAUGGCUCAGAAAUAACCCUGAGCUCUUGGGGCACAGCUGAUUCAUCCCAAGGCUCAGUAGCCUGAGUCACCCAAUCAGUGCUGCAGGGGGGGGAAUGAUUCCACAGUCCUGGGAAGGCCUCAUCCCAUUCCAAAAUCGCUUCAGCUUCCCUGCCCCUGGGAGCAUCCCUGCUGUUGCCCCCCAGUCAUGAGCAUCCUUCCCUCCAUCCCUCACCCCAGACAGGUCCCCGGGCGCGGCGCUGCCGGUGCCCUCCCGUCAGCCGAUAUCCAUGGCAACCGCUCCCCAGCCAGGAGGAGACAGCUGAGCUGGAUUGAAAGCCUCCCUUCUGCUCCUGCCUCCAUCACGCGCUUUCCCUGCUCCCCCAGGCAGGAUAACAGACUGCACUCGGCUUUGCCUCUCCUGGCCAGUGGAUCCCAGGAACUGAUUUGCAUGCCAUGGCCCCAUGGCUCUGCAGCUGAGCCUCGGGAGGGAGGAUUUGCAGCAAACCUGUGAGCUGUGGGCUGCUCAGGGAGCACACACUGACACAGCCCCUACCACUGACUUCUGUGGAUCCGAGGUACUGACAGCCCCGGGCCAAGCCAGGCUGCCAAAAAUUUUGAACUCUGUUUGGGGAGUGUUUCCAUUCUCAUUU
This 947-nucleotide long non-coding RNA is filed under the name Zonotrichia albicollis (white-throated sparrow). RNAcentral's name for it is "lncRNA (ENSZALG00000008476.1)". The record is from RNAcentral. Lineage: Eukaryota; Metazoa; Chordata; Aves; Passeriformes; Passerellidae.